UGGGGAAUAUUGGACAAUGGGGGCAACCCUGAUCCAGCGAUGCCGCGUGGGUGAAGAAGGCCUUCGGGUUGUAAAGCCCUUUAGGUUGGGAAGAAGUGUAUGUGUUGAUAAGGCAUAUACAUUGACGGUACCGACAGAAUAAGCACCGGCAAACUCUGUGCCAGCAGCCGCGGUAAUACAGAGGGUGCGAGCGUUAAUCGGAAUUACUGGGCGUAAAGGGCGCGUAGGCGGAUAGAAGAGUGUGAUGUGAAAGCCCCGGGCUUAACCUGGGAAGUGCAUCGCAAACGCUCUAUCUGGAGUAUAUGAGAGGGUGGCGGAAUUUCCGGUGUAGCGGUGAAAUGCGUAGAGAUCGGAAGGAACGUCGAUGGCGAAGGCAGCCACCUGGCAUAAUACUGACGCUGAAGCGCGAAAGCGUGGGUAGCGAACA
RNAcentral lists this ribosomal RNA (427 nucleotides) under uncultured Aquicella sp. RNAcentral describes it as "bacterial SSU rRNA". It matches the Rfam family "Bacterial small subunit ribosomal RNA", at positions 355 to 774 of the family's 1533-position model. The record is from RNAcentral. Lineage: Bacteria; Pseudomonadati; Pseudomonadota; Gammaproteobacteria; Legionellales; Coxiellaceae.